Molecule: unclassified non-coding RNA, 422 nt
Filed under: Hevea brasiliensis (rubber tree)
Lineage: Eukaryota; Viridiplantae; Streptophyta; Magnoliopsida; Malpighiales; Euphorbiaceae
Source: RNAcentral
AAAGGAGAGGAUAUCUCUUCAUGGUACGAACUAUAUAUAAAGUUUCAUUUCCUAAGGCAACAAUGACGUACCUUUCCAAAAUAGAAAUUAUUCCUUUUCUUUAUAAGUAAAUUAUGUGUAAUUAAAGAAUUUUUCUUAAUUUAGAAUAAUUACAAUUUUCAAUAAUAAAAAUUUAAUUUAUUCUAUUGAUAUUUGUCCAAUUUAGAAUAAAUUAAAGUUUCUAGAUCAAAAUAAAAUAAUUUGUAGUCUUCUAAAAAAAUUGUAAUCUAAUGAAGAUUGAGUGUAUGACCAAGUAUGAACUAACCACAAAAUUUUAAUCACUAUUGCUGUGAUUCGACUAUUUGAGCUUUUUAUUAAUUAUAUAUAUCUCUGUUCUCAUCGACACCUAUAGGAGGUAGUCGUUUUGAUCUACAGUCUGUACU